This 394-nucleotide ribosomal RNA is filed under the name uncultured organism. RNAcentral describes it as "partial 23S ribosomal RNA". It matches the Rfam family "Bacterial large subunit ribosomal RNA", at positions 2096 to 2467 of the family's 2925-position model. The record is from RNAcentral.
GCGGUCUAAAAUUAAACCUCUGCUGGAUGAUUGGGCUCGUUUUGCGCAGCCUAGUGGGAGGCGUUGAGAUCGUUCUCCGGGAACAUUGGAGCCGUCAUUGAGAGACCACUCUUAACAAGCUAGAUUUCUAACUGUGAUUCCUUGAAUCGGGACACAACACUGUUUCGGGUGGGCAUUUAUAUGGGGGGACUACCCCCCAAAAAGGAAACGGAGGCGCGCAAGGUUCCCCUCAUACGAAACGGAAAUUAAUCGUAAAGGGUAAGGGCAAAAGGGGGUUUAACUGCAAAACCAACAAUUCAAGCAGGACCAAAAUCUGGCCUUAUUGAUCCAGCGGUCCCGUGGGAAAGGGCCGCCCCUCACCGAAAAAAAUUUCCUCUGGGAAUAACGGGAAAAA